Molecule: long non-coding RNA, 1030 nt
Filed under: Rattus norvegicus (Norway rat)
Lineage: Eukaryota; Metazoa; Chordata; Mammalia; Rodentia; Muridae
Description: long non-coding RNA NONRATT026271
Source: RNAcentral
CCCAACUCCUUCUAGGCAGUUUCUUUUUGCUAACCAGUCGCCAUUUACAGCUGUCUGAAAGGUAAACGAGGCUGUGGGUAUGGAGUGGCGGCUUAGAAUUUGGCAAAUCCUUUUUUUUUUCCUUAAACUUUGUAACAAAGGGGACAAAAAAGCAUGGGGAGGUGGGGUGGGCACAAAGGUAUAGUCUGGGUUUUAGCAAUGGUGUUGGACAGAGGGGACAAAACCCAGGUUAUCUAAAGCGGAAGGUUUGGCCUAAUGUGGUUACGUUUUUGUACAUUAAGCAGAUGACACUAACCCUUGCACUCAUUUUACGGGUGUCCCUGGAGUCCAGGCUGAGAACUCUAAACUACCCUGAAGCUCCAGGUGAAACUGUGUGCCUUCAGCGAGCGCAGCAUCUGCUGUCAGGAUGGAUCAAGAUAAUCUACCUCCCCGUGGCCCCGUGGCCCCGCGGCCAGCAACCCUGCAGUCUGACCCAGGUGAGUCCUUUCCUCAGCUGUGACUCAUCUGCCCCAUGCCCUGCUUUUUUCCCCUUUGGAAUGUACAGAAAGCUUUUUUUUUUUCUUCUUUUUUUAAGCAAUGCACAAAGGCACUCAAUAGACCCUGCUCUGGGCCGGCCCAGGCCUCGCCCCCACCGAGACCCUUGGCCUAGUCCGAGGCUCCCAACGGGGCGACGCGGACAGCUGGUGGCUUGCAGCUGCCGAGUCCGGACGAACGGAGAGGGGCGGGGACUAGGGCAGUAAAUGUCAGGACAAUGGCGUCCCUUGCCGCAGGGACCCCCGGACGCUCAUAGCAAUCUGGGCGAGUCCCGGGAGCCUCAGCCUGCACCCUGGGGCGCCGACCAGCUCCCGCCCCCACCACUAGCAAAGACCCGGCAGUGGCCCGGUCGGGAGGCACGCAGCUCAGGCGGGCGGCUAAGGGGCGUUAACAGGCUGUGGAGCGCCGGCUGCGGUGCCUGGCUUCACACUGUCCCGCACCCACGGCCGCACUCACCGAACCGCGGGGCAGAUCGGUCCGGGAAGCCGCUGUCAAG